RNAcentral lists this ribosomal RNA (322 nucleotides) under Blackburnia abax. Its description in RNAcentral is "partial 28S ribosomal RNA". Lineage: Eukaryota; Metazoa; Arthropoda; Insecta; Coleoptera; Carabidae. RNAcentral also lists the same sequence under 14 other names. The record is from RNAcentral.
GAUGGUUCGAUUAGUCUUUCGCCCCUAUACCCAGUUCAUACGAUCGAUUUGCACGUCAGAAUCGCUACGGACCUCCAUCAGGGUUUCCCCUGACUUCAUCCUGACCAGGCAUAGUUCACCAUCUUUCGGGUCCCAGCGUGUACGCUCUUGGUGCGCCGCAACUUGCAAUAAGUAUGCGACGCCCCGGGAAUGCGAGGUAACAUAAAUAACGUUACCCAUCUUCCCUUUAUAAAAUAUAAUUAUAAAAAUUAUAUAUAUAUUUACUUUCAUUACGCCUUUAGGUUUAUUAUAAAUACCCAAUGACUUGCGCACAUGCUAGAUG